RNAcentral lists this transfer-messenger RNA (352 nucleotides) under Eubacterium sp. It matches the Rfam family "transfer-messenger RNA". From Rfam's summary of the family: Bacterial tmRNA, also known as 10Sa RNA or SsrA, is named for its dual tRNA and mRNA-like properties. Its role is to liberate the mRNA from a stalled ribosome. Lineage: Bacteria; Bacillati; Bacillota; Clostridia; Eubacteriales; Eubacteriaceae. The record is from RNAcentral.
GGGGAUGAAAGGAUUUCGACUGGGGCAGGGAAUCUUGGUAAGCGUGUAGCGGAGUUGCACCGCUUUAAAAGUAACACUUUAAAAUUAACUGACAAUAAUAAAUCAGUAGCUUUAGCUGCCUAAUGCAGCUUUCGUCUUACCCGUGAGUGCCACGGCAUGGAAUAAGGCGUCGACUUAGUGGCGAACAUGAACAGAAGAGCGGCUCGGCUUCUGUCAGGUAUCAGAGCCUACCGUAGCAAAAAGGCUGUUUGCUGCCGUUUUGUGAGGGGAAUCCUUAAAUAACAAACUACACACGUAGAAAGCUCUGAGGAUAUGUUUCAGGACGCGGUUUCGACUACCGCCAUCUCCACCA